GUUCAAUCUUACAAUUUCUAGCAAAAACACCUUAUUUUCUCAUCAAAUCUUCUUCAAAAACCCAUCUAAAACUUCUGAAAAUUUAUGUUUAUAAACUCAAAUCUCCCAUAAAAAUAAUCUUCAUCUUAAGAGCUUUCCAUAGACACCAAACUUGAAGAAAUCCACCAAGUAUAGAGUUUAGUUGAAGAGUUGGAGUUGAGACUUGAAGGGCAAGGACCCAAAGUUAGAACCACUUCUAAGAACGCGUAGGAGCUUACGUGGGAGCUUACGGAAUAAUUAUAUAGGCUUGGAGUCGAGAGUAAACCCCUAUGGCACCUCGACGGAGAAUGGAUAUGCGAGCGGAAGAUGAACCUGAGUUGGAGUAUGACUCCCCUUUGUUUAGAUCUCGUUAUUUUAUUUGAGAGACUGUUAGUUUAGAUUUAGACUAUUUUAAG
Amaranthus tricolor (Joseph's coat) is the source of this 434-nucleotide long non-coding RNA. RefSeq lists it as uncharacterized. The record is from RefSeq and is a predicted model, not a curated record. NCBI's taxonomy places the organism in Eukaryota, Viridiplantae, Streptophyta, Magnoliopsida, Caryophyllales, Amaranthaceae. The transcript is spliced from 3 exons.